GACGAACGCUGGCGGCGUGCCUAACACAUGCAAGUCAGGGAGAAAGAGGUAGCAAUAUCUCGAGUAAACCGGCGAACGGGUGAGUAACACGUAGGUAACCUGCCCUCGAGUUGGGAAUAACUUCGAGAAAUCGAGGCUAAUACCGGAUAAUGCAACGAACCCGCAUGGGUUUGUUGUUAAAGUUCCGCGCAAGCGGAACGCUUGAGGAUGGACCUGCGGCCGAUUAGCUAGUUGGCGGAGAACAGCCCACCAAGGCGACGAUCGGUAGCCGACCUGAGAGGGUGACCGGCCACACUGGGACUGAGAUACGGCCCAGACUCCUACGGGAGGCAGCAGUGAGGAAUAUUGGUCAAUGGACCGAAAGGCUGAACCAGCAACGCCGCGUGAGGGAUGAAGAUCUAAGGAU
Molecule: ribosomal RNA, 406 nt
Filed under: uncultured bacterium
Lineage: Bacteria
Description: bacterial SSU rRNA
Rfam family: Bacterial small subunit ribosomal RNA
Source: RNAcentral